This 371-nucleotide ribosomal RNA is filed under the name uncultured bacterium. RNAcentral's name for it is "bacterial SSU rRNA". It matches the Rfam family "Bacterial small subunit ribosomal RNA", at positions 28 to 392 of the family's 1533-position model. The record is from RNAcentral.
GACGAACGCUGGCGGCGUGCCUAACACAUGCAAGUCGAGCGGGGUCCAUCCAGUGGCAACACUGGGGUAGACCUAGCGGCGAACGGGUGAGUAACACGUGAGAAACCUGCCUGAAGUCUGGGAUAACCCGAGGAAACUCGAGCUAAUACCGGAUGCCCCCACCGAGUCGCAUGGCUUGGUGAGGAAAGAUUCAUCGCCUCAGGAGGGUCUCGCGGCCUAUCAGCUAGUUGGCGGGGUAACGGCCCACCAAGGCAUCGACGGGUAGCUGGUCUGAGAGGACGAUCAGCCACACUGGGACUGAGACACGGCCCAGACUCCUACGGGAGGCAGCAGUGGGGAAUCUUGCACAAUGCGCGAAAGCGUGAUGCAGC